GAUGAACGCUGGCGGUAUGCUUAACACAUGCAAGUCGAACGCAGACUUUCGGGUCUGAGUGGCGGACGGGUGAGUAACGCGUGAGAAUCUGGCUUCAGGUUGGGGACAACCACGGGAAACGGUGGCUAAUACCCAAUGUGCCGAUAAGGUGAAAGAUUAAUUGCCUGAAGAUGAGCUCGCGUCUGAUUAGCUAGUUGGUGGGGUAAGAGCUCACCAAGGCGACGAUCAGUAGCUGGUCUGAGAGGACGAUCAGCCACACUGGGACUGAGACACGGCCCAGACUCCUACGGGAGGCAGUAGUGGGGAAUUUUCCGCAAUGGGCGAAAGCCUGACGGAGCAAUACCGCGUGAGGGAGGAAGGCUCUUUGGGUGUAAACCUCUUUUCUCAGGGAAGAAGGCAAUGACGGUACCUGAGGAAUCAGCAUCGGCUAACUCCGUG
This 438-nucleotide ribosomal RNA is filed under the name uncultured bacterium. RNAcentral's name for it is "partial 16S ribosomal RNA". It matches the Rfam family "Bacterial small subunit ribosomal RNA", at positions 28 to 507 of the family's 1533-position model. The record is from RNAcentral.